Molecule: ribosomal RNA, 253 nt
Filed under: uncultured bacterium
Lineage: Bacteria
Description: partial 16S ribosomal RNA
Rfam family: Bacterial small subunit ribosomal RNA
Source: RNAcentral
UACGUAGGGUGCGAGCGUUGUCCGGAAUUAUUGGGCGUAAAGCGCGCGUAGGCGGCCGCUUAAGUCGGAUGUGAAAGCCCCUGGCUCAACUGGGGAAGUGCACCCGAAACUGAGUGGCUUGAGUACUAAAGAGGGUCGCGGAAUUCCCGGUGUAGAGGUGAAAUUCGUAGAUAUCGGGAGGAACACCGGUGGCGAAGGCGGCGACCUGGGUAGAUACUGACGCUGAGGCGCGAAAGCGUGGGGAGCAAACAGG